UGGGGAAUUUUGGACAAUGGGGGAAACCCUGAUCCAGCCAUCCCGCGUGUGCGAUGAAGGCCUUCGGGUUGUAAAGCACUUUUGGCAGGAAAGAAACGUCAUGGGUUAAUACCCCGUGAAACUGACGGUACCUGCAGAAUAAGCACCGGCUAACUACGUGCCAGCAGCCGCGGUAAUACGUAGGGUGCAAGCGUUAAUCGGAAUUACUGGGCGUAAAGCGUGCGCAGGCGGUUCGGAAAGAAAGAUGUGAAAUCCCAGAGCUCAACUUUGGAACUGCAUUUUUAACUGCCGGGCUAAAGUGUGUCAGAGGGAGGUGGAAUUCCGCGGGUAGCAGUGAAAUGCGUAGAUAUGCGGAGGAACACCGAUGGCGAAGGCAGCCUCCUGGGAUAACACUGACGCUCAUGCACGAAAGCGUGGGGAGCAAACAGG
This 429-nucleotide ribosomal RNA is filed under the name Acidobacteriota bacterium. RNAcentral's name for it is "Acidobacteria bacterium partial 16S ribosomal RNA". It matches the Rfam family "Bacterial small subunit ribosomal RNA", at positions 355 to 776 of the family's 1533-position model. The record is from RNAcentral. Lineage: Bacteria; Pseudomonadati; Acidobacteriota.